Molecule: long non-coding RNA, 1108 nt
Organism: Aegilops tauschii subsp. strangulata
Lineage: Eukaryota; Viridiplantae; Streptophyta; Magnoliopsida; Poales; Poaceae
Source: RefSeq, a predicted model, not a curated record
AACCCAUGCCCACGUUUGGUCAUUGGUCGAUUGCGAUUCCAAAGGUAUCGAUCGCCCGACGUUUCGAUCGACCAGAAAUUUUUUUUUUUGAGGGAUCGACCAGAAAAAUUACAUUCACCAUGCGCCUGUCGAUCGAAAGACCCCUCGUUGACUCGGUGCCUCGUUUCAUCCGCCGCCCCAGCCCCUGGACGGCUCGACAGACAGAACGAUCCGGACCUGUACUUGGCCUCGUCGCCUCAUCGCAGCAAGCCCCAUCUCCAAUUCCGGCGGCCACUUGUUCUGCUGCGUCUCCACAACUGGCUAGAGAUCCACCACUGUCUAGCCAAAUGAUUCCCUUCCUGGUGUCAAUGCUAUGGCUGACCCUGGCGAGAUGUUCUCUUCUGCUCGCUUAUUUGAAGUUGGCAGACAGCGACCAAUAGACGAUGAUUCAGAUCCGGAGGACGCAGGGGACACAGAGCAGGACGACGACGAUCCAGGUAACAACGAUGAUGAUGAUGAUGACGAUGCUGAGGAGGGUAUUGACAGUGGGGAUGAAAAUGAUGAUGAUGUUGACUUUGAAGAAGAAGGUGAGUUUGAUGUGGGAGGGGGGUUGCUGGAGAUUAUGGGUGACCGUAAUGGCGAAGACAUUGAUAUGAUCCUUUAGGAGCGGUGACAAAGAAGGUGGUUGGAUGAUGUAAGAGUAGAGGGAUUGGAUUUUUCUAAAGGCCGUGGUGGAUGCAAGAGCAAGGCCUGGAGCUGAAGGAAGAACACGUUUGGGUCACCCAGCCCAGUGUGAGUGUGCACCAGUCUGCACGAUCAACUUAAAGAGUUGUAAUUAUUGUCUUUUUGGAAGAAUACAUUGGAGUGCCUUUUAGAGCGCAACCUAAGUCUUGAGACAUUUAGAAGUUGUAUAUGUAAAGUUGUCGAAACUUUUGCGGUUUAUCGAUCGAAAUUUUGGGAAAUUCAUGUGUCAGGUGUGUUGUGCUGCCUGUUGAUGAAACUAGCCAAACCGGCUGUAUGUAGUCAAACGACCGCACACGAGAAACAUGUAAGAUCAGUUUCAGUGUUUCUGGCUUGUUUCUUCCAUGACAGCUUGGAGUUUAAUAUGAAGAUCAACCUUUUGGCAUUA